GUAGGGAAUCUUCCACAAUGGGCGCAAGCCUGAUGGAGCAACACCGCGUGAGUGAAGAAGGGUUUCGGCUCGUAAAGCUCUGUUGUUAAAGAAGAACACGUAUGAGAGUAACUGUUCAUGCGUUGACGGUAUUUAACCAGAAAGUCACGGCUAACUACGUGCCAGCAGCCGCGGUAAUACGUAGGUGGCAAGCGUUAUCCGGAUUUAUUGGGCGUAAAGAGAGUGCAGGCGGUUUUCUAAGUCUGAUGUGAAAGCCUUCGGCUUAACCGGAGAAGUGCAUCGGAAACUGGAUAACUUGAGUGCAGAAGAGGGUAGUGGAACUCCAUGUGUAGCGGUGGAAUGCGUAGAUAUAUGGAAGAACACCAGUGGCGAAGGCGGCUGUCUGGUCUGUAACUGACGCUGAGGCUCGAAAGCAUGGGUAGCGAACAGGAUUAGAAACCCCAGUAGUCC
Molecule: ribosomal RNA, 450 nt
Filed under: uncultured bacterium
Lineage: Bacteria
Description: partial 16S ribosomal RNA
Rfam family: Bacterial small subunit ribosomal RNA
Source: RNAcentral